This 417-nucleotide ribosomal RNA is filed under the name uncultured bacterium. RNAcentral describes it as "bacterial SSU rRNA". It matches the Rfam family "Bacterial small subunit ribosomal RNA", at positions 506 to 921 of the family's 1533-position model. The record is from RNAcentral.
CGCCAGCAGCCGCGGUAAGACGGAGGGUGCUAACGUUGCUCGGAAUUACUGGGCGUAAAGCGCGUGUAGGCGGGACGGCAAGCGAGAUGUGAAAUCCCUUGGCUUAACUGAGGAAGUGCAUUUCGAACUGCCGACCUUGAGUGCGGGAGAGGGAGGUAGAAUUCCCGGUGUAGAGGUGAAAUUCGUAGAUAUCGGGAGGAAUACCGGUGGCGAAGGCGGCCUCCUGGACCGACACUGACGCUGAGACGCGAAAGCGUGGGGAGCAAACAGGAUUAGAUACCCUGGUAGUCCACGCUGUAAACGAUGGGCACUAGGUGUCGCGGGUAUUGACCCCUGCGGUGCCGAAGCUAACGCGUUAAGUGCCCCGCCUGGGGAGUACGGCCGCAAGGCUAAAACUUAAAGGAAUUGGCGGGGGAU